This 1375-nucleotide long non-coding RNA is filed under the name Malus domestica (apple). RNAcentral's name for it is "long non-coding RNA (MDOM_LNC020754)". The record is from RNAcentral. Lineage: Eukaryota; Viridiplantae; Streptophyta; Magnoliopsida; Rosales; Rosaceae.
AAAGCAAGUUAAAUUAAACAUGAAAACAGAAACAAAGAAAGAAAGAACUCUAGAAACUCCAAUGGUUGAAGAUUGCAUGCGACAAAGCCUUCCUCCUCUCCAAAGGUCACGGCAAAGCUCCUCUCUUUGGUGGAAUGGAAGUGUUGCGGCAAAAGGAUGGGGGAAGGUUAGAAAAUAUGGAAGAAUGGUGGUAGAUGGCUUGCGGCAAGGAAGAAAAAUGGCUAGAAUUGUGUUUCUGAGGUUUUUGGAUGUGUAGAAUGGUGUGGCUGGAAGUAUGGACGAAAAUUCGGUGAUUCAACCCUAAAAUAUGUAUUUAUAGGCACCACAAAACCCUAGAGAAAUCAGCACAAGUAAUGGGCUAGGGUUUAGGGUGCGGCAAGGGUAGAGAUCCACAAUGAAUUAGGGUUUCUAGAAAGCCUUGCAAGGCAAGGAAAAUAGGGUUUCUAGAAAGCUUAUUUCAUCUAGAAGCCCAAAGCCAAGAAUAGAAACUCUCAAAAAUGGAAACCUUCAAGAAUAGAAACUUCCAACAUUAGAAACUUUGGUUGCCAAUUCCGACUUCUUUGUUCUUCACUUUCAUUUCUUCAUUUCUUAAACUCAUUUGACCUUCAAAUUUGUCCAUUCCCUAUGCUCCAUAAGCAUACAUUCCAUUUAAGCUCAUUUUUGCUCUAAAAUGCACCAAAAUGCACUUUCUUGCUUCAAUUGCCAUAUGAACCUACAAACACACGAAACUAGCUUAAAUCACUAUAAUAAACAAUAACUAACAACGUAAAUGCAAGAAAACAAGAUAACAAAGUCGCAUAAAUAUGCUCCUAUCAAAUUCCCCCACACUUAGCUUUUGCUAGUCCUCGAGCAAAAUAAAGAAUUAAAGAAAAACAAAACGAACAAAACAAACAAAACACAACCUAAACCUUCCAACAUUUACCUCAGGGAUUUCCAAUACACAUGACAUGUUAAAAAUCAUCAUUCCCACAGAUUUUAGUCAUCUUUACACUUAAGCACACACUUAAUCAUAGUCACCACGUACUAGUUCACAUUUAACCAAUUAAAACAUGAUUUUGAACGUAGUAACAUGCCCUAGAGAAUUUGCUCAAUUCCUUACUAGAUAUGCACUCAAUUUUCACACAGAUUUUCUGACUACACACCCCUAUACUAGUUAUAUGUGAGAAGAUUGAUGUAAAUAUGAAAACGAAUGCUCACAUAUAUGUUAUAACAAGGAAGGCUUUCUCUGAAUUUAAUAAGCAUGUAUAUGAUCUCAUGAAAGGAAUGCUACUACUUAGACGCGAGAACCAGUGACACCAUAUGCUCAUACCAAUCCCAAACUCCACAAAUUGAAAAUACACAACACUCAAGAUAGAAGUUAAGGGUUGUAACGGGG